CGCGUAAGAAUCUACCUUUAGGAAAAGGAUAACAACUGGAAACGGUUGCUAAUACUUUAUAUGCUGAGAAGUUAAAUAGGUUACUGCCUAAAGAUGAGCUUGCGUCUGAUUAGCUAGUUGGUAAGGUAAAAGCUUACCAAGGCAAUUAUCAGUAGUUGGUCUGAGAGGAUGAUCAGCCACACUGGGACUGAGACACGGCCCAGACUCCUACGGGAGGCAGCAGUGAGGAAUUUUUCGCAAUGGGCGCAAGCCUGACGAAGCAAUACCGCGUGAAGGAUGAAGGCCUGCGGGUUGUAAACU
Molecule: ribosomal RNA, 300 nt
Filed under: uncultured cyanobacterium
Lineage: Bacteria; Bacillati; Cyanobacteriota
Description: bacterial SSU rRNA
Rfam family: Bacterial small subunit ribosomal RNA
Source: RNAcentral